CUGGUGUCAGCUUAAUUUAAAACAGAAACCCCCUGAUCCAGGGUAGCUUUUGUUUUGUCCUAGAGAUGGACUUACUGCAGGGAAUGCCCCCCCCCCCUUUAUUUCCUUAUCAAAUCCAUUUUUUAUUCGAAAAGGCAAUUACCAAAACAAAAAUAGAGAUGAAAUGAGAAAGUAACAAGCAAGUCCACAGACCAGUGCAUUGCUGAUGCAGCUCAGUCCUUUAUAGAUUAUGGUGCAGUUUCACAUACUCUGAGCCAUGACUAAAAGUCAAUGAGAACCCCCCUACCACAUCUUGCAGAGGGAUCUAUCAGAUACUAGUUUACUGGACAAUCAAAAGUACAAGACAGUAUAGUUUACCCCGCACUGGCGAUGGAAGUUCACUGAUGAUGGUACUGUGUAUUGUCCAAUUAAACGAUUUAUUUUCAUUUUCAUAAACAGUAGAAAAUCAGAUAUUUCUCGAUUCACUCCAUACCUAUUUUACAUGUGUUUUGUACUUGACACAUACAACAAGCAUAAAUUUCUGUCUGUAAAUGUAGUGUGGCAUUAUUAAACACGUGAUUAAACAAGAGUAAAACUUUUACUAUACUUAUUUUAUGUAUCACGUGCCAUGCAGUAAUUGUUUGUGUCCCCCCCCCCCUGCAAGGACAAUAUAAUUUCAGAUUUUACGAUUCUAUGAAUACAGAGCAUAUUUUGCCAGAUACCCCUGUAUCUGGAUUGUGCGUGUCACUAUACUGCAACACUUUCUUGUUGUUCACAAACAAAACCCACGGCGGGAUAGUAAGAUAAUCUCAUUAUCUGGUAUCUGGCAGGAUGGUAAUGAAUAUUGUUUAUGAGGUAUUAGGCUUUCUUUUCAGGUUAAAAUGUAGAGCGUAUUUUAGGGCCCAAUUCAACCCGAUGAAUGCAUGGGCUAACCAAACAGUCUGAUUAACCCAUUGAGUGCAAACGCUCUCCCUUUGACGAGUAAAAUCGUCUGGCGUUAGACAGAGUAAAAUAGUUUGGCGUUAGACAGAGUAAAAUAAUAAAGUAGGGUGCAUUCUAGGGUGCAAUGCAACUUAAUGGUUAAUUUGUUUUACCAUGCAUGGUUUUGAUAUUUUGUUUGUCAAAUAUCUAUACCUUUCAUCAUGUGUUAACCAACGUCAAUGCUGUAAGCAUGUGCUAAUGAAAUACAAAUGGAGACACAAUUAAAUGCACGUUUCAGGAAGAGAAUGGAAUCGGAAGCACUUGUCAAGUGGCUUAAAUUGAUAUAUUUG
Molecule: non-coding RNA, 1250 nt
Organism: Paramuricea clavata
Lineage: Eukaryota; Metazoa; Cnidaria; Anthozoa; Malacalcyonacea; Plexauridae
Source: the annotation of a GenBank genome assembly